RNAcentral lists this ribosomal RNA (874 nucleotides) under Escherichia coli. RNAcentral's name for it is "partial 23S ribosomal RNA". It matches the Rfam family "Bacterial large subunit ribosomal RNA", at positions 312 to 1191 of the family's 2925-position model. Lineage: Bacteria; Pseudomonadati; Pseudomonadota; Gammaproteobacteria; Enterobacterales; Enterobacteriaceae. The record is from RNAcentral.
CUGAAUCAGUGUGUGUGUUAGUGGAAGCGUCUGGAAAGGCGUGCGAUACAGGGUGACAGCCCCGUACACAAAAAUGCACAUACUGUGAGCUCGAUGAGUAGGGCGGGACACGUGGUAUCCUGUCUGAAUAUGGGGGGACCAUCCUCCAAGGCUAAAUACUCCUGACUGACCGAUAGUGAACCAGUACCGUGAGGGAAAGGCGAAAAGAACCCCGGCGAGGGGAGUGAAAAAGAACCUGAAACCGUGUACGUACAAGCAGUGGGAGCCUCUUAAUGGGGUGACUGCGUACCUUUUGUAUAAUGGGUCAGCGACUUAUAUUCUGUAGCAAGGUUAACCGAAUAGGGGAGCCGAAGGGAAACCGAGUCUUAACUGGGCGUUAAGUUGCAGGGUAUAGACCCGAAACCCGGUGAUCUAGCCAUGGGCAGGUUGAAGGUUGGGUAACACUAACUGGAGGACCGAACCGACUAAUGUUGAAAAAUUAGCGGAUGACUUGUGGCUGGGGGUGAAAGGCCAAUCAAACCGGGAGAUAGCUGGUUCUCCCCGAAAGCUAUUUAGGUAGCGCCUCGUGAAUUCAUCUCCGGGGGUAGAGCACUGUUUCGGCAAGGGGGUCAUCCCGACUUACCAACCCGAUGCAAACUGCGAAUACCGGAGAAUGUUAUCACGGGAGACACACGGCGGGUGCUAACGUCCGUCGUGAAGAGGGAAACAACCCAGACCGCCAGCUAAGGUCCCAAAGUCAUGGUUAAGUGGGAAACGAUGUGGGAAGGCCCAGACAGCCAGGAUGUUGGCUUAGAAGCAGCCAUCAUUUAAAGAAAGCGUAAUAGCUCACUGGUCGAGUCGGCCUGCGCGGAAGAUGUAACGGGGCUAAACCAUG